AAGUCGUAACAAGGUUUCCGUAGGUGAACCUGCGGAAGGGCCACUUGAUUUACCGGGAUUGCUGUUCCGCGUGGGCUAGAAGAACUGUCUGAAGGUUCACAGGGGAAAGUUUUUUUGAUUCGGGACCUCUGUCCGAGUGGUAUCAAGUUAGAAUCCGAACUUGAGCAGUGGCAUGGUUUCCCUACGCAGUGCAGAAGGAUCCACUGAUAAGGAUGACGCCUCACGGUUGCUAGCGGUCGAUCACCGAUCAGCAGACAUGUCACAGGGCUUUACGCCCCUUCGUUCACACCUUGCCUAUUUAAGCCCCGCGGAAACGCCUGGGCUAAAAACCGAACAACUGUUAACAAUGGAUAUCUUGGUUCUC
This 364-nucleotide unclassified non-coding RNA is filed under the name fungal sp. RNAcentral's name for it is "partial internal transcribed spacer region". The stretch from base 1 to 46 matches the Rfam family "Eukaryotic small subunit ribosomal RNA", at positions 1786 to 1831 of the family's 1831-position model. The record is from RNAcentral. Lineage: Eukaryota; Fungi.